Synchiropus splendidus (mandarinfish) is the source of this 563-nucleotide long non-coding RNA. RefSeq lists it as uncharacterized. The transcript has 4 exons. The record is from RefSeq and is a predicted model, not a curated record. Lineage: Eukaryota; Metazoa; Chordata; Actinopteri; Syngnathiformes; Callionymidae.
UACAAAGACAACGAGCACGCCACACCUUCUACCUGUCGCUUCAACACCAACACCAACACCAACGUUUGCUCUCCCCUCUGGGUCUUGGCCUUUGUGGGAGACAUCGACGCCGGUUUCCUCAGUACCUCUGGAUCUACUAUCCGGACCGUUCCCUGCUGAAGACUCGACGUCGGCAUCUGGGCUAUCCGCACCUCCACAGCCACCGUCGCCGACACCAUCAGCACAGCCAGCAACCACAGACAAGCCGCGGACAUCGCCCCGGAUACCAAAACAAAAAGAAAGAAAUACUUGUGUGUGUGUGUGUGUGUGUGCAUGAAAAGAUCACCCGGAACCCGGAAAUCAGACACGACCGGGAAGUCAUCCGGACCCUGUGGAUGCUGAUCAUUCAUUGAACGGGUCGCUCCAACUGUUCAACGACGAUCAGUCAGAGGUCGAAGGAGUAGGGCACCCGCUCGUUGAUUCUCUAACUCACCAGACGCCUCUGCUGAUAGGAGAUACAAAGACAACGAGCACGCCACACCUUCUACCUGUCGCUUCAACACCAACACCAACACCAACGUUUG